UAUCUUUUUUUUUUCUCUCCUCCGUCUAUCGUCGGACGUUUGAUUUCGAUUCUCCUAUUUAUAAUGGGAGGGGUGGCGAGAGUUAUUUUGAGAAAUUCGAAAUUCGAAAUUCGAAAUUGAAUUUUGAAUAGGUUGUUGUGGUUGGUUGAAAGAUAUUUGGGAUUGGUUGGAAAUUCAAAAUUCGAAAUCGAAUUUUGAAUGAGUUUUUAGAUGGUUGGAGGGUAUUUUGGGCAUUGGUUGGAAAUUCGAAAUCGAAUUUUGAAUGGAUUGUUGGAGGAUAUUUUGGAAAUUGGUUGGAAAUUCGAAAUUCGAAAUUGAAUUUUGAGUGUGUUGUUGGAUGAUAUUUUGGGAAUUGGUUGGAGAUUUGAAAUUCGAAAUUCGAAAUCGAAUUUUGAAUGGGUUGUUGAAUGGUUGAAGGAUAUUUUGGUGAAUCGGUUAGGGAUUCGAAAUUCGAAAUCGAAUUUUGAAUGGGUUGUUGGAUGGUUGAAGGAUAUUUUGGGGAGUCGGUUAGGGAUUCAAAAUUCGAAAUUUGGUUGGGGAUUCGAAUUUUGAAUCGGUUGUUGGGUGCACGGAUGUUGGUUGGGGAUUCGAAAUUCAAAAGUUGUGGAAUGAAUAGGUAUUCAAAAUUCGAAUGAAUGUUGGUUGAGAGAUAUUUUGGGAGUUGGUUCGAAGUUCGAAAUCGAAUUUCGAAUAUGGUUAUUAGGAUAACAGAUAUUUUCUGGGGGUUUAAAAAUUUAAAAUCGAAUUUGAAUAUGAUAUUCGAAAUUGAAUUUUCAAACGUGGGUGAAAAUGUGAGCCGUGAUCCCAUGAAUUGGGCUGAA
Molecule: long non-coding RNA, 821 nt
Filed under: Ananas comosus (pineapple)
Lineage: Eukaryota; Viridiplantae; Streptophyta; Magnoliopsida; Poales; Bromeliaceae
Description: long non-coding RNA (ACOM_LNC021033)
Source: RNAcentral